GACGAACGCUGGCGGCGUGCUUAACACAUGCAAGUCGAACGGAAAGGCCCUGCUUUUGUGGGGUGCUCGAGUGGCGAACGGGUGAGUAACACGUGAGUAACCUGCCCUUGACUUUGGGAUGACUUCAGGAAACUGGGGCUAAUACCGGAUAGGAGCUCCUGCUGCAUGGUGGGGGUUGGAAAGUUUCGGCGGUUGGGGAUGGACUCGCGGCUUAUCAGCUUGUUGGUGGGGUAGUGGCUUACCAAGGCUUUGACGGGUAGCCGGCCUGAGAGGGUGACCGGCCACAUUGGGACUGAGAUACGGCCCAGACUCCUACGGGAGGCAGCAGUGGGGGAUAUUGCACCAUGGGCGGAAGCCCGAUGCAGCAACGCCGCGUGCGGGAUGACGGCCUUCGGGUUGUAAACCGCUUUCGCCUGUGACGAAGCGUGAGUGACGGUAAUGGGUAAAGAAGCACCGGCUAACUACGUG
This 468-nucleotide ribosomal RNA is filed under the name uncultured bacterium. Its description in RNAcentral is "partial 16S ribosomal RNA". It matches the Rfam family "Bacterial small subunit ribosomal RNA", at positions 28 to 507 of the family's 1533-position model. The record is from RNAcentral.